Molecule: ribosomal RNA, 442 nt
Filed under: uncultured bacterium
Lineage: Bacteria
Description: partial 16S ribosomal RNA
Rfam family: Bacterial small subunit ribosomal RNA
Source: RNAcentral
CCUACGGGUGACAGCAGUGGGGAAUAUUGGGCAAUGGGCGCAAGCCUGACCCAGCAACGCCGCGUGAAGGAAGAAGGCUUUCGGGUUGUAAACUUCUUUUAAGAGGGAAGAGCAGUAGACGGUACCUCUUGAAUAAGCCACGGCUAACUACGUGCCAGCAGCAGCGGUAAUACGUAGGUGGCAAGCGUUGUCCGGAUUUACUGGGGGUAAAGGGCGUGUAGCCGGGCUGACAAGUCAGUUGUGAAAUCCCGUGGCUCAACCUCGGAACUGCAUUUGAAACUGUCGGUCUUGAGUAACGGAGAGGCUGGCGGAAUUCCGAGUGUAGCGGUGAAAUGCGUAGAUAUUAGGAGGAACACCAGUGGCGAAGGCGGCCUGCUGGGCGACAACUGACGGUGAGGCGCGAAAGCGUGGGGAGCAAACAGGAUUAGAUACCCGAGUAGUC